GUGAGAGUUUGAUCCUGGCUCAGGACGAACGCUGGCGGCGUGCCUAACACAUGCAAGUCGAGCGAGCGGAGUUCUUCGGAACAAAGCUAGCGGCGGACGGGUGAGUAACACGUGGGCAACCUGCCUCAUAGAGGGGAAUAGCCUCCCGAAAGGGAGAUUAAUACCGCAUAAGAUUG
Molecule: ribosomal RNA, 176 nt
Filed under: Clostridium saudiense
Lineage: Bacteria; Bacillati; Bacillota; Clostridia; Eubacteriales; Clostridiaceae
Description: partial 16S ribosomal RNA
Rfam family: Bacterial small subunit ribosomal RNA
Source: RNAcentral